UACAGAGGGGGCGAGCGUUGUUCGGAAUUACUGGGCGUAAAGGGCGCGUAGGCGGCCUGCUAAGUCGAACGUGAAAUCCCUGGGCUCAACCCAGGAACUGCGUCCGAUACUGGUUGGCUUGAAUCCGGGAGAGGGAUGCGGAAUUCCAGGUGUAGCGGUGAAAUGCGUAGAUAUCUGGAGGAACACCGGUGGCGAAGGCGGCAUCCUGGACCGGUAUUGGCGCUGAGGCGCGAAAGCCAGGGGAGCAAACGGG
This 253-nucleotide ribosomal RNA is filed under the name uncultured bacterium. Its description in RNAcentral is "partial 16S ribosomal RNA". It matches the Rfam family "Bacterial small subunit ribosomal RNA", at positions 524 to 776 of the family's 1533-position model. The record is from RNAcentral.